AGUUAUUAAUAUCUUCAGUGCGUCUUGACUUGAUCGAGGGAAAAAAGGUGUUUUUAGUAAUAAAAAAAAUGAAUUCAGCCUAUCCCCCUUAAUUCUAUAAAUUCUCCCCUCAAAUAAGAAAUAAGCAGUUUUGAUUUCUUUAUAGUGAUAGUAGUGGUGAUUUCUAAAACUAUUCCAAAUUUUAAGUAUCUACGUCAUACGGUCUCUGAGAAAAACGCAUUUAACCGAUUUGCAAGACCGAAGUGAUUCCAUAACAGCUCCGUCACCAAUGUUUUGUACAUACGAAGCUCUAAAAAUGUAAUUUUAUUGAGAUUUUAAAAUAAAAUUUGACGAUUCCUGCAGUAAUGCAUUCGGCAGCAUUACUGCAGCAGUAAGACUGAUGCAGUCUGAAUCCGAACUUACCUUUACAUUUCUCAUAAAGGUGACAGUCCAUUUCUGACCGCAGCUGCACUACUGCUCCGACAUUACUGCAGCGGCCUGAUCGUGUCGGUGUUAUUGUCAAUUUUCAUAGUAAAAUCAAUGACGGUACCGACUGCACGUAAUAUGGUAAUUUUAACGUAUUUCCGACCGCAGCUGCACUACUGCUCCGACAUUACUGCAGCGGCCUGAAUACGUCAGUGUUAUUGUCAAAUUCCAUAGUAAAAUGAUGACAAGACCGACUGCACGUAGCAUGGUGAUUUUUAGUGUUUGGUGUACAUACGACCGCAACUGCAAACCGCACGUCAAAUCUUUACAGAAAUGUCUUUGGUCACAGAUAUUAGUAGCUCUAAGCAAAGAGGAUAUAACCACUACAAUAUAAGGAGUUUAUUACACCCGUGGAUAAACAACCCCGAUAGUUUCUGUGUUUCGCGGUAGUUCCUCUGUAUCUUGGCGUUGCUCUUAUUGUUUUUGUUUAAUGUUUCCUGAUAAAUUCAUUAAAUAAACAGUUCUUUCCUUUUUUCGUAGUUUUCCGAGAACAGCUAUAAGCUCGAAAGGGCAAGAACGAUAGAGAGCCAAAUAUACGAUUUUCAAAUUAAGAUUUUCAUGGUAGGCAAUAAGUAGAUAGUAGCUAUGUAUGUAUGUAUAUAUAAAUUAUUUACAAACUAAUAAUAGUGAAAAAAACUGGAAAACUAGUUCGCCUUUGUAUUAAUGAUGAGUGUUUUUUUCCUGUUUUGUGUUCAUUUUUGUACAAUAAAAAGUUUUACUACUACUACUACUAAAUUACAGGACGCACUUAUGUGUUAGAAUAAGAUCGAUGUAGGUAUGCUAACCAUUAUCGUACAAUCAUGUACACAUAGCAUAAAAAUGUAACAACAUAAUAUUUCUAUGAUGAUUCUAAUACUGAACGGAGUGGUCGUAUGCAAUUUCCUCUCUCUUUCCUCUUUCUCUCUUUUUCCAAAUUUUGACUGAGAAAAUGUUUCGAAUGAAAUGGCUUACUCUGUAUCCUCUGUAUUUGUGUUAGGAUACUACGAAACCACAGUAGAUUACAUUUUUUAGUGGCAACAAUGGUCGCGCACUGUGCGGCUUAUGAGGAAUUUCCUCCCGCGGGCGCUCCGGCUUUAGUAUGAGCUCCUUGCCGAGGUUUUUCUGAAGGUCUACAGUAGGGGUUCUUGAAAAAAGAAGUGUACAGGUUUUUAAAGGGUCGGCAACGCGCAUGUAUCACUUCUGGAGUUGGAGGCGUGCUUAGGAGUUUCAGUGAUGCUUAUAUUUAACAGGAUUAAUUACUGAAUUCUCGCUGACAGUACCGUACGUGAAUUUGGCGUGAUAAAAUGUGAAAGUGUCGUAAUAUCAUAUUAUAUACACCGUGGGUUGGUAAAAUCCGACAGAUCUUAAACGCAUUCCUGAGGAUCAAAAUGUUUAGUAAAAUUCGGAAAAAAAAUGUUCUGUUUUUUCUUUUAGCCGAUUUAAAAGCUAUUUUCUGCAUACAGCACGUUAUUUCUUUCUACAUCUUGGCGAAAAAAAAACAUUACAACGAAGAAGUAAAGUUUUCUUAAUUCAUAUAUAGAUCAAAAUUGCGAGUGUUCUUUUUAGUUGAGUAAUGUUUGUCAGAAGGUAUGACUAAACCAAGUCACAUAGAGGCAGCGCCGCAGAGAAAAAGGCGUUUUUCACAAAGUUAUUGCAGAAACAAAUUAUCGCUAAAAUUGCCAUUAUCUCUGAAAGAAGACCGAUUACAGAAAAUUUGUAUGAUAUUUUAGCCUCUAAAUGCGAUUAAGAAUACAACUUUAAAUCUAUCAGGUUUUACCAGCCCACGGUGUAUAAUAUCGUGACACUUUCUCACUUUGUCAUUUCAAAGCCAUUUCUGAGAUAAAGGAAGCAAUAAUUCAGUUGUAUUACCUAGAAAUACAAAAGGCAAAGUUGUUGUUUAACACCUCAUGGUAGCAUAUGGAUACUCAAACGUAAGAAAAAUUACAAUAUUGAACCACAAGAGAAGCGACAGCGGUUUUAAAAUAAAAUUGUAUUGACAGUCGCGGGGACUUCAAGGCAUGAGGGUUAAACAAACUUUGCUACAGAGCGCAACACGAAUUUAUUUUAUCACACCAUCACGAGGAAAAUAUUUAUUAUUCCAAUUAAUUUAUUAAAUAUUCUUUCUAUCAGCCCCUUGGCUAACGUAAAUAGCUUUCUUCAUAAAGGAUUUCUUGUCUCGCCCAUCAAGUUUUAUAUGGUCUAGUCAUAAACUGUAUCUGCCACGACCACGAGUGCCGUCGCCCAUGGACACCUGCAACACAAGAGCGAUUAUAAGAUUUAAAUUUGUGCUUUAGUUUGAAAUAGGAAACUGGACAAUAUUAAGUGUAAAUUGCGUAAUUAUAGCUCUUACAAAUCAAUUUAUUCCUUUAUUCUUUACUUUUAGGUAACUAAUGAAAGAUUGGUUUAAUAUGAAAACUCAGAAAGAUAAUCUGUAAUAUUUUGCUAACACUGAACGACUGCAUUUGAGAAUUUAUUAUUUUGUCGCAUCGCCAUCUCCGAAACCCACGAAUCCCUUUGCAAAAAUAAAGUAAACCCGGGAUAAAAGAGCCUACCUAGCUUUUUGAGGGGACGUUUAUCGCAGACUUCUACAUCCAGGCGGUACUUGGCCACCAAAAACGUGCAGACACCACCGGCUGGAUUUGGCUGGAUCACGUGAUGCAAGUGGAUCAAGUGCGCAUACCUAAUGUCGCACCAGUAAUGUCGCAACGGUAGUGCAGCUGCAGUUGGAAAUGGACUGUCACCUUAAAGAAAACAAGUCUUCAAAUAUCCUUUAGGUUAUGAUAAAUUGUAAUGGCACAAAAAACACGUAACUAAGAUUAUCCGUGAUAUUAAAAACGAACAUUACUAUAUGUGUCACUAUAACAUUUGAGGAGUUUCCUAAAAAACACUUAAAGAAAUCAACAAAAUUGAAAACCACCUGCUUCCGGAAUUCCGAAUUUUGAUAAACAAUAUCAGAGGAUGAAAACUGAAAAAUAUUUUCCUUUUUUUAUACAAUUUUGGCACUUUCUAAUGUUACGCUUAUAACUUUCAUAGCUCAUUGUACCUUGGUUUCUUAACUUUGUUUUCUUCAAUGACUAUUAUUAACUCAUUAAAAAUUAAUAUUAAUGACUUAAUACUGAUACAAAUUCGUAAAUGUAAUCUGAUUGCACCUAUAAGAGAAGUUUUCAGUUACAGAACAUUUAUUAUACUGUAUUUGUUUGUGGAUUAUAUCUGCUACCUUUCGUCAAAACCCUAAGAGCAGCUUCGUUUUAUGCAAAAAAAACUGAAAAGAAAUUAAGACAUAAAUCUUAAAGAUAAUCUAAAUACAAGUCACGUAAUUUGUCGCUUAUAGAUCAAGUGGGCCCAGAAGAACUGAGUUACAAUAUUAAUAUUCUUUAUUGCUCACCAAUAUGAAAAUAACAUAAUGACAUACAUAUUAAACACACAACUUAGACUAUGGUAGACAACGGGCGGUCUUAUCGCUAAAGAGUGAUUUCUUCCAGACAACCUUAGGGUAGUGGAGACAAGGUAAAAAACAAGUAAUG
Long non-coding RNA from Cydia pomonella (codling moth), 3968 nucleotides. RefSeq lists it as uncharacterized. NCBI's taxonomy places the organism in Eukaryota, Metazoa, Arthropoda, Insecta, Lepidoptera, Tortricidae. The transcript is spliced from 2 exons. The record is from RefSeq and is a predicted model, not a curated record.